RNAcentral lists this transfer RNA (76 nucleotides) under Oscillospiraceae bacterium. RNAcentral's name for it is "tRNA-Pro". It matches the Rfam family "tRNA". From Rfam's summary of the family: Transfer RNA (tRNA) molecules are approximately 80 nucleotides in length. Their secondary structure includes four short double-helical elements and three loops (D, anti-codon, and T loops). Further hydrogen bonds mediate the characteristic L-shaped molecular structure. tRNAs have two regions of fundamental functional importance: the anti-codon, which is responsible for specific mRNA codon recognition, and the 3' end, to which the tRNAs corresponding amino acid is attached (by aminoacyl-tRNA synthetases). tRNAs cope with the degeneracy of the genetic code in two manners: having more than one tRNA (with a specific anti-codon) for a particular amino acid; and 'wobble' base-pairing, i.e. permitting non-standard base-pairing at the 3rd anti-codon position. Lineage: Bacteria; Bacillati; Bacillota; Clostridia; Eubacteriales; Oscillospiraceae. The record is from RNAcentral.
CGGGGUGUAGCGCAGUUGGUAGCGCGCGAAGUUUGGGACUUCGAUGUCGCGUGUUCGAAUCACGUCACUCCGACCA